This 479-nucleotide ribosomal RNA is filed under the name Neisseria mucosa. RNAcentral's name for it is "bacterial SSU rRNA". It matches the Rfam family "Bacterial small subunit ribosomal RNA", at positions 30 to 497 of the family's 1533-position model. The record is from RNAcentral. Lineage: Bacteria; Pseudomonadati; Pseudomonadota; Betaproteobacteria; Neisseriales; Neisseriaceae.
AUUGAACGCUGGCGGCAUGCUUUACACAUGCAAGUCGGACGGCAGCACAGAGAAGCUUGCUUCUUGGGUGGCGAGUGGCGAACGGGUGAGUAACAUAUCGGAACGUACCGAGCAGUGGGGGAUAACUAAUCGAAAGAUUAGCUAAUACCGCAUAUAUUCUGAGGAAGAAAGCAGGGGACCAUUUGGCCUUGCGCUGUUUGAGCGGCCGAUAUCUGAUUAGCUAGUUGGUGGGGUAAAGGCCUACCAAGGCGACGAUCAGUAGCGGGUCUGAGAGGAUGAUCCGCCACACUGGGACUGAGACACGGCCCAGACUCCUACGGGAGGCAGCAGUGGGGAAUUUUGGACAAUGGGCGCAAGCCUGAUCCAGCCAUGCCGCGUGUCUGAAGAAGGCCUUCGGGUUGUAAAGGACUUUUGUCAGGGAAGAAAAGGGCGGGGUUAAUACCCCUGUCUGAUGACGUACCUGAAGAAUAAGCACCGCA